CUUCUCUGCACUACAUCAACCCCAGGCAGAGAUCCUCUCUUCUGAAACCCUCCUGCAGUGCUUUUGGCAAAGGUUUGGGCACAUGGUGGUACUGUGCGAGUGGUCCCCAAGCAGCAGCACUGCUGAAGCCUUGUUUUCUUGUGAGCUCCAGCUUGUGCCUGAGCUCCUGGGUGGAUGAGGCAUGCCAAGGAGGAACCCAGGUCACGGUCAAUACAGGCAGCCAUAGUCUCUCUUCCUCGUGCUAGAAAUGAUGAUUCCUGGGUUUGUUGCAGUUUCUGAUCUUUACAAGAUGAUUUCAAUCCAAGAUACCCAUUCCGAUUCCAGCUGUGGCACUGGAAAAUGAAAUACUUCCAUUGGUUUUAUUGGAGCGAGCCUAGAUUUUCACAAAAGCAACAAAAAUCAUGAUAUGAACAGAAGGAGCUCUCUCUAUUACUGGAAACCUUACAAUAUGAUGCCACCUUCAGGGUCAAGAGGACAUCUGUGGGCAUUUACAUUACAGCCAACAGCAAUGUGACUUUUAUGAUUCUGUCUAGUUCUUUGGAGGAACAGUAGCCCCUUGUAUGUGGCUUGAAGCUGUCCAUGGCUUUGGUUGAUGGUUGAUCUCUUGUGUCCCCCCAACAAGUGGGAAUACCCCUGGAGCUUCUAGGCUGGUGCCUCCAAAAGACAUCUGCUGCAAUUGCACCCAAACUGCACCACUGUGUGGGAAGCUGACAGCUGGGGAAAUUUCUUCAAAAAGCAUUACGACUGUGAGUGAAGGCCUUGGUGUUAACACAGGUAUGGAUAACCUUGAAAACAUUUACAAUGUCAUCUAGAAAAUAUUAUUAGCAUGACCUUAAGAUGUUUAAAUAGCUUGAGAACAAGACUGCACAUCAGAGACCUACUUUAUCUUUUUGGAUAUUCUCCUGGCAGCAAAGGGGUUUAUUUUUAAGAUUGUUUGGACCCUGGGUAACUACUGAAAGUAAUGGCUAUGUAUGGCAUAUAUGAAGUUGUCUAGCUACAUCAAAGUAAAAACUACUUGUGUUUGGUCUUCACAAGGUUUUUAGAUGGUAAGAUGGUAAACUUCAAUUGGAGAUAUAACUAGGAAAAAUAAAGCAUUUUUUAUAUUGGUGAUUUGGUCUGCAUAUUUUACAGUGCUCUAACAUAAGUUGUUUGCUAAUAAAAACAACCACUCAUACAGGUUUCACUUUAUCACCUUAAUGAUUCAGAUUGUAACUCAGAUUGUUAGGGGAAAAAACAAAUUAAGGUAGUUUCCCUGCCAGGACAAAUUCUGACUCAGCAAUAUAAGCUACAUUAAAUGCAGCUAUUCCACUGAUUUCACUUAAUCUCACCUAAGUUUCUCAUAUAUUUCUUAGCUGAGAUAAAGUAUUUCCACAAGAAAUGAAUUGGGUCGAUGUGAAACAAAUAGUCAUUAGUGAAGUUUAUCAGUCACUCUGUCACGGUUAAACCUAUGGAUUAAAAAGAGAAAAGGAGAUGGAGAAAGACUGAUCCUUAAUGUUGGUGCUUGUUUAUAAAAUUGAAAUAAGGGAGACUAACCUAAACUCAUGUCAGACGAAGGGUUUAUAUGAUCUCAUAAGAUAUACAAAUAUUACAAACUUAAAUUUAUUCAACUUGUGCAGUAAUAUUUUAUGUGCAGCCAAGUGGCAUUCAGUCAAAUCCAACAUGUUGUUGAUUACCAUGUUUUAAUCAUCUGCUGGAAAAUUGGUUGUAAGUAUUUCUGAGAUUUGGUACCACAACACUGAUCCUACCUUAUGGUUUAUACACAUUUCCAAAAAUAAUAAAGCUAUUGCAACUUUUUUUUUUUUUAAUUCAUACAACACUGGAAAGCUAAACAGGACAAUGCAGUAAUGAAUUAUGAGCACUCUGAAGUAGUUUUUGUAAAAAGCUAAAAAUAAGUCUUCAACUUCUGCCAAAAACUAAAUAAAUGAUCUUAAG
Cygnus olor (mute swan) is the source of this 1932-nucleotide long non-coding RNA. RefSeq lists it as uncharacterized. NCBI's taxonomy places the organism in Eukaryota, Metazoa, Chordata, Aves, Anseriformes, Anatidae. The transcript has 4 exons. The record is from RefSeq and is a predicted model, not a curated record.